Molecule: long non-coding RNA, 6105 nt
Filed under: Homo sapiens (human)
Lineage: Eukaryota; Metazoa; Chordata; Mammalia; Primates; Hominidae
Description: HSALNT0341744
Source: RNAcentral
GACACAUUUCUUUGCAAUUACUGAUUUACAUGUCUGCUUUUAUCACUGGUGAGGUUCUUUAGGACAGAGACAUUAUUAAUUCAUCUCUGGGCACAUAUGUUCCAACAUAUUAGAAGUACUACAGAGUGCUAUUACUAUGUAGUAUGUAGUAUUAGUAGUAGUUACUCACAAAUCAUUUUUAAAUAAGUGAUUAUAAUAUCUUUUUGUUAUUAUGAUUUAACACAAGAUGGAAUUUAUUUUCAGAAGUUUCCAUGAUAUAUUUGUUCUAUUUAAAAUCCAAUAGCCAUUAGAAUAUUACCAUUAUUUAAUGUAAAACAAUAAAAUAUUAAAUAUGAUCGUUCAUAUUUAAUGCAAACCGAACUCAUGGAAAUAUUGUGUAAAGAUCAAGUAAUUUUUGACAUACAAUUUUAAACUCAACUUUUCAUAUAGCAUACCUUAUGAUAUAUUUUCAGCCUACUUUUAAAUAUGUUGGCAUUGAAAGCCAGUUACUAAUUCGCUGAAUUCAUGAUUUCUUUUUAAGUUAUAGAAGUGGAAUUAUGUUUGAGAUAUUCAUUGCAUUACAUUUACCAGAACUUGAGUUCUUAACAUGGAACCUGAGAGUUUCUCCAAUUCUUAAGUCCCUGGGAGAAAUAGAUUAGCUGGAUGAGGAACUGAGAGGAAAAAUGGUCAGAGAUGUAGCAAGAGUUGGGAAGAAGGAACAAUGAUUUGCUUUCAAGGAGAUUUUUUCAUUGGUCUGUUUUCAGUGACAAACCCACUGCGAUAAUACAUGUAAAGUGAAAACAUUCAGGAAGUUCCCUUAGAAACCUCUUUUCUGGCAGUUCCUAAUUCUACAACAUUGUAUAAGUGAAAUACCAUAGUUACUGUCAUAGUAAAUUGAGCCAAGAGAAACAAGGGAGCAGGAGAAGAAAAGAAUUAAAGAGAGUUUUGUCUUUCAGUCUUCACUCUGUUUCUUCUUGCUUUUACCAGUCAUUCAGGUUUAUAUAAUUUCUUUAGAGAGGCUUCUACUAUGCAGGUCUUCCUUAAAGUCAUUGGUAUUACCUGGCAUGAUAUGUGAGCCUUUAAUAUCAGUCCCUUUAUCUCUUUAUUUUUAAAGUUUAUAUCAGUACAGAGUCCUGGAUUCUUAAUUAAUUUAAUAGGUUAGACUUUAUGCUAAUAUUCUUCAUUUUGAUGCUCAAAUUUUCCAAAAUUUGGCCAGCAGGGUUCCUUAAAGCUGGGUACCUUGCCCUUUCAACAUGUCCCUCUGAUUCUUUAUUUUUAUUUACUUAUUUAUUUAUUUAUUUAUUUAUUUAUUUAUUUAUUUAUUUAGAGACUGAGUCUUGCUCUGUCUCCCAGCCUGGAGUGCAAUGGCACAAUCUUGGCUCACUGCAACCUCUAUCUCCCAGGUUCAAGCAAUUCUCCUCCCUCAGCCUCCCGAGCAACUGGGACUACAGGCAUGUGCAACCAUGCCUGGCUAAUUUUUUUUGUAUUUUUAGUAGAGACAGGCUUUCACCAUGUUGGUCAGGCUGGCCUCGAUCUCCUGACCUCAAAUGAUCCAUCGCCUCGGCCUCCCAAAGUGCUGGGAUUACAGGCGUGAGCUGCCACACCCAGCCGUCCCUCUCAUUCUUUAAGUACUUCCAUGUUUUCUAAGGUACAAGAUGUUCCAUAUUAUUUUGUUAUUUGUCUUCCCCAGCUCUGAAAUCUGCCUUUCCUUCAAGGAGCCUUGGUUCUUUCUAGUGACAAAUUAUAUUUAGAAAGAAGAUCUGGGUAUUUGACUUGUAUAUUGCUAUUAAUUGGCCAUUGUUUCUAGUCUCUUUCAGUAGACAGAGCUAAGAAAUGUAAAAGGAAAUAUUUGAAUGUAUGUAUAUGUGAUAUAUUAAGUACAUUUAAACAUAUUAAAUUCAUGAGUUCAUACUAAUACUUUCAAUAAGCCACAAUUCCCUUUUCAUGUUUUCGAAGGAAAAAUAUCCAUUGUCUAUAUACAGUGGACAUAGAUAGUAAUAAUACUGAUCUUGAAAAGAGCAGUCUUAAAUAGAUCCCAUUAAUAGUUAAAGAUAACAUAUCUUAGAAUUCUAGAUAUUAGAGAGAUUAUCUAGAGCUGUAAUCUAGAUAUUUUAUAGAUCUUUGCUGUGCUGUUUUGAAUUUGUGUUGGAGUAGAACAAUCAGAUGACAAAAGCUCAUCCCACAUGGAAAAAUCAAAGCAUUCAUUACAGAGAGAAUUUUGAAAUAAAUGCAUAUAUAAAAAAUAUAUAUGCAUAUAUAAUGCAUAUGUAUAUGCAUAUAAAAUAUAUAUAUAUAAAAUGAGGGUUAUAAACAAUGAAGGAAAUAGUGAUACUAUCUAUGUGGGAACAAUACUAGUAUCCUCCCUUUGGAUGAAUACAGUAGCUACAGAUGCAAUUCUGGGGACUCUGUUUAGCAAUAGCUUAACUAUUGCUUGGCUACAAGCAUGGAUAACUUGUUCAAAGAUAAUGAGGAGUUGUAAAUAUUUAAAUAAACAGGAUUUGCAACAUAAAAAGCUUUGUGACUAUGUGUCUGAAUUCUUAGAGUUUUCUCCCAGCAAGACCUUGGAUGUGGCAGACUUUUCUGUAAUUGUCCAUCUCGCCCCUAUUUCAUGAAAAGCCAGAGCUUCUCUACUUAGUUUGCUAACCCCAAAUAUAUAAAUUCAAUAGAAGUACUAGCCUGUUUUUACUGGUUUAUUUGCUUUAUCUAAAAAAAACAAGGCAUAGUUUAAAGUCUGUUUUUGAUAGCAUAACAAAACAAAGGUUCUCAUUUUAAUAAUGCAUCACAUAUACACUUGGUAACUAUUGCAUAGUAAUAAUUUAAUAACUUGAGAAAUAUAUUUAUGCAUGUAUGUGUAUAUGUUCAUAUAUAUGUUAUUUUUAAUUCAGAAGUAAAACAAAUAUUGGAAGAGGCCACAGUUAUUAUAAAAAUAAUUUGACCAGUAUUGGACAAUGCAAAUAGCAAUCAUUUAGAAGUUUCUGUACAACAGAUGCCAUAUGUGUUACAUUUUAUUUGAUCAUCAAAAUUGUCAUAGAUAUUAUUAUCCCCAUUUCAUAGAAGAAACUGAGAUUAUAUAAUUUGUUCAACUUGACCAACUUCUUAUAACUAAUACAUAGUAGAGAUAAGGUUGAAACCUCAUUAACCAACUUCUUAUAACUAAUACAUAGUAGAGAUAAGGUUGAAACCUCAUUAGGUUUGACUCCAGACCCCAGCCUCUUUUGAGUGCAUCAUAAAAGGCUUUGGUCUGCCCGUGGCCAGUAACAACUUUUACUAAAUUGAUUCUUUGCUUUUUAUCUGUAAAAGGAAGUUAUUCACCUAUUUUGAUGAUCCCCAAUGUUUUUAACAUCAAUAAAUGUGUCCACCACACAUGAUAGUUUUUAAUGUUUUGUUUCCAUGAUUACAGGAUUAAAAAACUAUUAAUUAGUGAUACUUUUAAUUUUGAUUUUAUUAAUUAAAACACAUCUGUCUACAUCUGAAGAAUAGCACUUGUGACAACAGCAUAGACGGCUUCAUUUUGAGGAGUAAAUUACAAUUGAACAUGACCAAAUAUACAUAGAGAAGGCGUGGACCACACAAAUGUGAUUGAAAGCUGGCGUGGAGUCAUCUUAAAUUGACUUUUUCCCAAAGGGCCCCUAAAAGAGGGUAGAAUCCCAACAGAUAGAGUCUAUGGAGAGAUAGACUGCUGAGACCCAUAUUAUGGUCAGUGAAGUGCAGGCAAGGAAGGGAUCCUUAGCAAAAUGGGGAGAGGAAUGGAUGGUCUGAAAAACCCUGAAGGAACUGAAACACUCUGCAAAGGAAAGAAGAACAAGUAUCAGCUUUGACCCCUGCCAGACCUAGGCAGCAACAACGGCAGCUCACAAAGCACCAGAACAAACGCGCUUUCUUGUGCCCCUACAUGUCUUCCCUUCACCGUCUUGAACCCUGGUGUCAUCAUAAACUGUGUAAGUUAACAACUGAGGAGGGGAAGAAUGAUAAAUUGGGAAAAUAGAAAAGUGUCUGGGCCCUACUUUCAUACCGUAGGCCAGCCUUCUGUAGCAUGGCAGAUUAGGCAAGUGCAGAAGCCUUAAUUUUGAAUGAAAGUUGGAGUUUUUGUUCUGCUCUGGCUGUACCUAUCAGUUUCAAAACUGGAAUAGUUUAAAUGACUAAAGUACUAGGAAGAUUUUAUUACUUAAUAUAACUAUGGAGAACUGACCAAGAUUUUAUCUAGGGGGAGGAGUAUCACCCUACAGAGCAGACUUUAAGGGACAUUAUGAGAGAAAACAGUUACUUAGUGAUUUAAUGUUGCCAAUUCUGUUCUUUAGAAUACCAUCAUGUAUUUAUAUCCCUAUAUAUCACAUAACUAAAAUAUACAUUUAUCUGUACGCGUGUGUAUCAUAUGGAGCACAUUUUCUUUUGCAGGGUUUCUUUGUUUUAAAUGUCUAUUUGGUUAUUUUCUUGAUUGAAUUUCUGUGUAUGCUUUUUUCCUCAAUGCUUUAGCUGUAAGCGAAUAAGGUAAGGACUUUGUAUGCAAUAUUCUACAUGUUUUGUUUUAUAAUUAGAGAAUAUCUUAUUUUAUCUAAACCUCGUGUAUCACGUGAUAUAUUUGACACCCUGUCAUAUAUCAUACUUGGAUGCAAAUGUUUAUGAAACACAAAUCAUCUCAAAUCAACAGGAUCAAAAUUAUAUUUGAAAAAUGUAUUCAAUAAUAUGUGUAAGACAAGAUAAAAUUAAUUCUAAUUGAAUUCACACAGCGUUUGAAAUUGGAUGUAAAUCUGUAAUAUCAAAUUACAUUACAUAUGAAUUAUUAUUAUAUUUGCAUUCAGGAAAUUGUACUGUGUUCACUUCUGAGUAUCACUUAGAAAGAACAUUAGAACAGAUACCCUAUUUUCACUUUCUCUUCUCUUUUCCUGCUCCUUUUCUUCCUCUUUUCAAUAACCUGUCAUUGAAAAAUCUCUCCAUCUUAAUUAUCAAUAUGAAAGACUGAUUCUGAGAAAUGUAGAGAACCUAAGAUUUGCAUUUUGGUGGAAUAUAGAAUAUAAUUAAUAAAUAUUUUUAUAAGUAUGUAAAAUAUUUAAGAGGUAACAAUUUUAAGAUCUUAAAAGUCUUCUAUCAAAUACUGAAUUUUAGAUGUUAAGGCUAGUAGAGCUGUACAAAAAACAACAGCUUCUUGUAUGAAUGUUCCUCAGUUUAAAUAUUUAGUGUUCUAUUAUCAGUAUGUGGGCAUUAAAAAAACAAGUCAUUUGAAACUGAUAGAGAUAAUUAAGAAAUUCUUAGAUUUUGGGUAUAGGUGCUGCAACUUAGAAUUUAAGUGUCGUCCAAAAGAGAUUAGUAUUGGUCAUAACAUGGACUCUAAAGCCACCAUUUAAAUGAAGCAUGUAAAAAAGAAUAUUCUAGUACACAAAAGUUAUUAAUGGCCUAGAAUGACCUCCUUCUCACUCAUAUGAUGCAAAGAAUAAAGUAUAUAAAAAUGUUUGUUACAAUGGCUAUCCAUAAAAAAGAAAACCCUCCAAAACAGCAAAAUUGAAUAGGUAUCCACAGUCAACUUUAUCCUGAAAAUUGCCUAGAAAUACUGGUUGUGAUUACACAGCAUCCUGAGACCAAUGAAUCUUUAGACAGUAAUAAUUUCCUACUCUAAAGCUAUUCUCUACUUCCUCCUUAGUGACAGAGCUCCUUGCUGCUCAAAUUUUAUGCCAGAUAAAAUAUUCACCUUCUCGGACUCCCUGGCACCAGGCAUGGCCAUGUAAUCCUACAGCACAGCUGAUGAAAGAGAAGACAUCUUGCUGCUAUUUGACAAGCAAGAAGAUAAAAGCUUUCCUAUAAAGAUGAUGGAGCAAAAAAAUAGAAGGGGCCUAGACUCCCUACCUUCACACUUCCUGCUAUAAAAGCAUUGCUAUUAUAAGGUUAAUCUGCAGAAACAGACUUCUAUGUCAUAUGCUUAAAUGCAUCAAAAUUCAUACAAUAUCCAUUAAAUUGGUAAAAGUAUCCAUUUUAAAGGAUUAAUCUGAGGGACCCACAGACACUUAACACAAUCAAAUCUCAGAAAAAAAAUCAGUUAUUUCAUUGUGAUUUUGAGGCUGAUCUUUUAUGAUCUUUUAGUUAUCAAACUGUUAAAUACAUUUUAACUUUCAAAUUUUAUGAAUAAAGGAGAUG